CUUGUGCUUUAUGCCAAAACCAAACGAGAAUAAUAUAAAGUUUUGCUUGGAAAUUAUUAUUAAGAGAGUCGUUGUGGGAUAGUGAAUGUUUUAUUCAUAUAUAUAAUAUAUAAGCAUGAAAAUAUUAGAGAUUGCGUGGGUGUAGCAAUUGGUAUUCCAUACAAACUCAUAGAAAAUGAGCAAAAUUUUCCUGCCGUUACUUUUAAUGGCUUUUUAGCUCGCUGCAUUAUGAUGAGUAAUAAUGCGGCUUGCUUAGGCUGCAGUUCGUACCAUUUGCAGUUGUAAACUGCUCGAAAAAUUGACGAACUCUAAAAAAAUUCAUAAGCAGUAUUUGAAUAAGCAUACAGAUUUUCAACAUAGCAGCAAAUAAAUAAAUGUGUUCCAAUGUGCAUCACGUAAACUGCCAUGAAAAGAAGGUGGAGUACUGGAAAUCCCAUGUCUUUACUGGAACUCAACUGAAAAUUAAUAUUCCAAUUAUGCUGGAAAAUUAAUGAUUUCUUAAAAAUCAAAUCUCAGUGUAGACAAAAUUUUUUAAGUCGUUAAUAACAUGAAAAGAGCAAGAAAUAAGCUAUAGAGCAUUCACGAUGUAAC
This is a long non-coding RNA of Phymastichus coffea, 591 nucleotides long. RefSeq lists it as uncharacterized. Lineage: Eukaryota; Metazoa; Arthropoda; Insecta; Hymenoptera; Eulophidae. The transcript has 4 exons. The record is from RefSeq and is a predicted model, not a curated record.